This 483-nucleotide ribosomal RNA is filed under the name uncultured bacterium. RNAcentral describes it as "partial 16S ribosomal RNA". It matches the Rfam family "Bacterial small subunit ribosomal RNA", at positions 28 to 507 of the family's 1533-position model. The record is from RNAcentral.
GAUGAACGCUGGCGGCGUGCCUAACACAUGCAAGUCGAACGGAGUCGUUUUGGAAAUCUCUUCUGCGAUGGAGUUCUCGACUUAAUGGCGGCCGGGUGAGUAACGCGUUAGCAAUCUGCCUUUAUGAGGGAGAUAACAGUCGUACACGGCUGCUAAUACCGCAUAAAGCAUUGGAUUCGAAUGUUUUUGAUGCCAAAGGAGCAGUCCGCUUUUAGCUGAGCUCGCGUCUGAUUAGCUAGUAGGCGGGGUAACGGCACACCAAGGCCACGAGGAGUAGCCGGAGUGAGAGGUAGAACGGCCACAUGGGGUGUGAGACACGGCCCAGACUCCUACGAGAGGCAGGAGGGGAGAAUAGCGCGCAAGGGGGGAAACUCUUACGGAGAAACGGCGCGUGAGAGAAGAAGGUCUUGGGGGUGUAAAGAUUUUGAAUGAGGGACGACACAAAUGACGGUACCUGAAGAAGAAGCUCCGGCUAACUACGUG